This 440-nucleotide ribosomal RNA is filed under the name uncultured bacterium. Its description in RNAcentral is "partial 16S ribosomal RNA". It matches the Rfam family "Bacterial small subunit ribosomal RNA", at positions 338 to 795 of the family's 1533-position model. The record is from RNAcentral.
CCUACGGGUGGCAGCAGUGGGGAAUAUUGGGCAAUGGACGCAAGUCUGACCCAGCAACGCCGCGUGAGUGAAGAAGUAUUUCGGUAUGUAAAGCUCUAUCAGCAGGGAAGAAAAUGACGGUACCUGACUAAGAAGCCCCGGCUAACUACGUGCCAGCAGCCGCGGUAAUACGGAAGGUCCGGGCGUUAUCCGGAUUUAUUGGGUUUAAAGGGAGCGUAGGCCGGCUUUUAAGUCAGCUGUGAAAGUCCGCGGCUCAACCGUGGAAUUGCAGUUGAAACUGGAGGCCUUGAGUGCACACAGGGAUGCCGGAAUUCAUGGUGUAGCGGUGAAAUGCUUAGAUAUCAUGAAGAACUCCGAUCGCGAAGGCAAGUGUCCGGGGUGCAACUGACGCUGAGGCUCGAAAGUGCGGGUAUCAAACAGGAUUAGAUACCCGAGUAGUC